RNAcentral lists this ribosomal RNA (526 nucleotides) under uncultured bacterium. Its description in RNAcentral is "bacterial SSU rRNA". It matches the Rfam family "Bacterial small subunit ribosomal RNA", at positions 24 to 518 of the family's 1533-position model. The record is from RNAcentral.
UCAGGACGAACGCUGGCGGCGUGCUUAAUACAUGCAAGUCGAGCGGGGUUACACUUUGAUCCUUCGGGAUGACGAGGUUUAACCUAGCGGCGGACGGGUGAGUAACGCGUGGGCAACCUGCCCUAGAGCCUGGGAUAACAGCGGGAAACCGCUGCUAAUACCGGAUAUCUUUACAGCAAGGCAUCUUGCGGUAAAGAAAGGGACUGAAUGCGAGCAUUCAGUUUACGCUUUAGGAUGGGCCCGCGUCCCAUUAGCUAGUUGGUGAGGUAACUGCUCACCAAGGCAACGAUGGGUAGCCGGCCUGAGAGGGUGGACGGCCACACUGGGACUGAGACACGGCCCAGACUCCUACGGGAGGCAGCAGUAGGGAAUAUUGCGCAAUGGGGGCAACCCUGACGCAAGCGACGCCGCGUGAACGAUGAAGGCCUUCGGGUCGUAAAGUUCUGUCCUCAGGGAAGAAAUCGUAUUAUGUACGUUUGACGGUACCUGAGGAGGAAGCCCCGGCUAACUACGUGCCAGCCGCAGC